This 284-nucleotide ribosomal RNA is filed under the name Francisella tularensis subsp. holarctica. RNAcentral's name for it is "partial 23S ribosomal RNA". It matches the Rfam family "Bacterial large subunit ribosomal RNA", at positions 463 to 747 of the family's 2925-position model. Lineage: Bacteria; Pseudomonadati; Pseudomonadota; Gammaproteobacteria; Thiotrichales; Francisellaceae. The record is from RNAcentral.
AGGCUAAAUACUCCUGAAUGACCGAUAGUGAACUAGUACCGUGAGGGAAAGGUGAAAAGAACCCUUAUAAUGGGAGUGAAAUAGAAUCUGAAACCGCUUGCAUACAAGCAGUAGGAGCAUGAGUUAGUCAUGUGACUGCGUACCUUUUGUAUAAUGGGUCAGCGAGUUAUUUUUAGUGGCGAGGAUAACUGAAUAAGGUAUCCGUAGCGAAAGCGAGUUUUAAUAGGGCGACUAGUCGCUAGGAGUAGACCCGAAACCGGCGCGAGCUAUCCAUGGCCAGGGUG